This 346-nucleotide ribosomal RNA is filed under the name uncultured Enterobacteriaceae bacterium. Its description in RNAcentral is "bacterial SSU rRNA". It matches the Rfam family "Bacterial small subunit ribosomal RNA", at positions 1035 to 1382 of the family's 1533-position model. The record is from RNAcentral. Lineage: Bacteria; Pseudomonadati; Pseudomonadota; Gammaproteobacteria; Enterobacterales; Enterobacteriaceae.
CAGGUGCUGCAUGGCUGUCGUCAGCUCGUGUUGUGAAAUGUUGGGUUAAGUCCCGCAACGAGCGCAACCCUUAUCCUUUGUUGCCAGCGGUCCGGCCGGGAACUCAAAGGAGACUGCCAGUGAUAAACUGGAGGAAGGUGGGAUGACGUCAAGUCAUCAUGGCCCUUACGACCAGGGCUACACACGUGCUACAAUGGCGCAUACAAAGAGAAGCGACCUCGCGAGAGCAAGCGGACCUCAUAAAGUGCGUCGUAGUCCGGAUUGGAGUCUGCAACUCGACUCCAUGAAGUCGGAAUCGCUAGUAAUCGUGGAUCAGAAUGCCACGGUGAAUACGUUCCCGGGCCUU